UGCUGGAUAGCUCAGUGGGUCAGAGUGUAGUGCUGAUAAUGCCAAGGUUGCAGGUUUGAUCCCUAUACAGUGCAGCAG
RNAcentral lists this transfer RNA (78 nucleotides) under Podarcis lilfordi (Lilford's wall lizard). Its description in RNAcentral is "tRNA.Ile". Lineage: Eukaryota; Metazoa; Chordata; Lepidosauria; Squamata; Lacertidae. The record is from RNAcentral.